UGCUGGAGAUCCCUGCCUACCUAUGACUUUCUAAAGUGAGCAGAGGAGGGGUCACAAGCAGGUUAUGGAGGCACACAAAAAAACCAGUGAGAUUCUGUCCUGUCAGAUGGUCUCCUGUUCUACAAGCAACACGACAUCCACCACAACUAAGAUGUUCAAAUGACAGCCACGUGACUGAGGGACAAACAAACAUCUGGACCAAUGAGAAAGACUAGUCAGAACCCAGUGAAGAAAGACAAUCAAAUUUUGACAUGAGAGGAAAGCCUUGGUCCAAGGCUGAGUUCAUGCUGGCCUUAUCCUACCUGUAUGCGGCUCUGCACUGAGGUUACAAAAGAAGCAUAUCCUUGGCAGCUUAGUGACAAUACUAGCACCCACAUUCACAGACUGCAUCACUUCCUUCAUCAUACCUCUCUGUUAUUAAUGUUUAUCUGACGUAGCUGAAGUCUGAAAUCUUUGCCUACGCAUACAGCAGAUUUAGGGCUUAUCUAUUAGACAUUGGCUGAAACACAUAUUUACAUGUGUUCAAAUGGGAAUUGGAAAAAAAUAUGAAUGCAAGAGCAGAUGAAGGUCACAGUUCAAGUAUCAAAAUAGGUGUUAACUGUAGGUAGACUAUAGAGGAACAGUGCUAUUUCUUUUUCUUCAGAGAAAAUAUUUCAUUCCUUUUGCUUUUAUAAAGCAAGUAAUAAAGGCAUAGCUUUGCUAACAUCCUCUAGGUUCAACAGCUCAAGCCCAAAGUCUCACUGAUUUUAUGUAAUAUGGUGCUUGAAAUUCAGAUGAUAGGAACAUAUACAGCAGCACAAAGCCAAAGUUUUGUGGCAAUCCACAAGCCUGUAACAAAAAAAAAAAAAAAAAAAAAAAAAAGGCCUUGGCAUUUACAAUUUUUGAAGUCCUAGCCCCUUCUGAAACUGAAUCUGAAGAGAACUGAUUUACGCUGUUACCAAUGUAACAGAUCCACUUGAGAAAACUUCUAUCAGCACAAAUGAGAUCAAGCUCUGGGACAAAACCCUUGAAAUAAUCUUUUUUUUUUUUUCUUUUUCUUUUUUAAAUGCCAUACUUUGACACAUUUACAUGUGUAAAGAGAUAUCUGAUCUCAAAGCAGGCAAAUGUUUGUGUAAUUGGUUAGUCUGCCUGCACAAAAAUUGUCAAACGGGGAAUUUGGAAUUCUUUUCUGGUAAGUCUUGCUAUUUGGAUUUGUUCCCCAAAGGGAUGGCUAGACAACAUGCAGACUCCUGAGUUAAGGGAUAUGUCCUUAGUAACCAUGUGGGUUUUUCACCUGUGGUUUGAGAGCAAGAGAUCACACGUAUCUUAAUUUUUCCUGCACUUAAAAAAAAAAAAAAAAAAAAAA
Molecule: long non-coding RNA, 1345 nt
Organism: Numida meleagris (helmeted guineafowl)
Lineage: Eukaryota; Metazoa; Chordata; Aves; Galliformes; Numididae
Exons: 4
Source: RefSeq, a predicted model, not a curated record